CCUUUGUACACACCGCCCGUCGCUACUACCGAUUGAAUGGCUCAGUGAGGUCUUCGGACUGGCUCAGGGACGUGGGUGACCGCAACCCAGAGCCGGAAAGUUGCCCAAACUCGGUCAUUUAGAGG
RNAcentral lists this ribosomal RNA (125 nucleotides) under Pleurothecium semifecundum. RNAcentral's name for it is "partial small subunit ribosomal RNA". It matches the Rfam family "Eukaryotic small subunit ribosomal RNA", at positions 1657 to 1779 of the family's 1831-position model. The record is from RNAcentral. Lineage: Eukaryota; Fungi; Ascomycota; Sordariomycetes; Pleurotheciales; Pleurotheciaceae.